AGAGUUUGAUCCUGGCUCAGAACGAACGCUGGCGGCGUGCCUAACGCAUGCAAGUCGAACGCGAAAGGGGGCAACCCCCGGUAGCGUGGCAGACGGGUGAGUAACACGUGGGUAACCUACCCGGAGGUGGGGGAUAACCCUUCGAAAGGAGGGCUAAUACCGCAUGACACCGCGAGAACCUCGGUCCUUGCGAUCAAAGCUGGCCUCUGUUUACAAGCUAGCGCCACCGGAUGGGCCCGCGCCCCAUUAGCUAGUUGGUGAGGUAACGGCUCACCAAGGCUACGAUGGGUAGCCGGCCUGAGAGGGCGAUCGGCCACACUGGAACUGCGACACGGUCCAGACUCCUACGGGAGGCAGCAGUGAGGAAUCUUGCGCAAUGGGCGAAAGCCUGACGCAGCGACGCCGCGUGGAGGAUGAAGGUCUUCGGAUUGUAAACUCCUGUCGAGCGGGACGAAUGCCAUGAGGGUGAACAAUCCUCGUGGUUGACGGUACCGCUGGAGGAAGCCCCGGCUAACUCCGUGCCAGCAGCCGCGGUAAUACGGAGGGGGCUAGCGUUGUUCGGAAUCAUUGGGCGUAAAGGGCGCGUAGGCGGCCGAUCAAGUCGGAGGUGAAAUCCCUCGGCUCAACUGAGGAAUUGCCUUCGAUACUGUUCGGCUUGAGUCCUGGAGAGGGUAGCGGAAUUCCCGGUGUAGCGGUGAAAUGCGUAGAGACCGGGAAGAACACCAGUGGCGAAGGCGGCUACCUGGACAGGUACUGACGCUGAAGCGCGAAAGCUAGGGGAGCAAACAGGAUUAGAUACCCUAGUAGUCC
RNAcentral lists this ribosomal RNA (810 nucleotides) under uncultured bacterium. Its description in RNAcentral is "bacterial SSU rRNA". It matches the Rfam family "Bacterial small subunit ribosomal RNA", at positions 8 to 796 of the family's 1533-position model. The record is from RNAcentral.